AUUGAACGCUGGCGGCAUGCCUAACACAUGCAAGUCGAACGGCAGCGGUAUCUAGCUUGCUAGAUAGCCGGCGAGUGGCGAACGGGUGAGUAAUGCGUAGGAAUAUACCUUAAAGAGGGGGAUAACCUGGGGAAACUCAGGCUAAUACCGCGUACGCUCUGAGGAGUAAAGCUGGGGACCUUCGGGCCUGGCGCUUUAAGAAUAGCCUGCGUCCGAUUAGCUAGUUGGUGAGGUAAAGGCUCACCAAGGCGACGAUCGGUAGCUGGUCUGAGAGGAUGAACAGCCACACUGGGACUGAGACACGGCCCAGACUCCUACGGGAGGCAGCAGUCGGGAAUAUUGGACAAUGGGGGCAACCCUGAUCCAGCAAUACCGCGUGUGUGAAGAAGGCCUGCGGGUUGUAAAGCACUUUUAGUAGGGAAGAUAAUGACGUUACCUACAGAAAAGCACCGGCUAACUCCGUG
Molecule: ribosomal RNA, 464 nt
Filed under: uncultured bacterium
Lineage: Bacteria
Description: bacterial SSU rRNA
Rfam family: Bacterial small subunit ribosomal RNA
Source: RNAcentral